GUAAAGCCCUUUUGUUGGGAAAGAAAAGCAAUCAGCUAAUACCCGGGUUGUUCUGACGGUACCCAAAGAAUAAGCACCGGCUAACUUCGUGCCAGCAGCCGCGGUAAUAGGAAGGGUGCAAGCGUUACUCGGAAUUACUGGGCGUAAAGCGUGCGUAGGUGGUUGUUUAAGUCUGUUGUGAAAGCCCUGGGCUCAACCUGGGAAUUGCAGUGGAUACUGGGCGACUAGAGUGUGGUAGAGGGUAGUGGAAUUCCCGGUGUAGCAGUGAAAUGCGUAGAGAUCGGGAGGAACAUCCAUGGCGAAGGCAGCUACCUGGACCAACACUGACACUGAGGCACGAAAGCGUGGGGAGCAAACAGGAUUAGAUACCCUGGUAGUCCACGCCCUAAACGAUGCGAACUGGAUGUUGGGUGCAAUUUGGCACGCAGUAUCGAAGCUAACGCGUAAG
This 448-nucleotide ribosomal RNA is filed under the name Stenotrophomonas maltophilia. RNAcentral's name for it is "bacterial SSU rRNA". It matches the Rfam family "Bacterial small subunit ribosomal RNA", at positions 425 to 864 of the family's 1533-position model. Lineage: Bacteria; Pseudomonadati; Pseudomonadota; Gammaproteobacteria; Lysobacterales; Lysobacteraceae. The record is from RNAcentral.